This 865-nucleotide ribosomal RNA is filed under the name uncultured bacterium. RNAcentral describes it as "bacterial SSU rRNA". It matches the Rfam family "Bacterial small subunit ribosomal RNA", at positions 57 to 907 of the family's 1533-position model. The record is from RNAcentral.
GCAAGUCGAACGAGAGGAAGGAAAGCUUGCUUUUCUGAAUCUAGUGGCGAACGGGUGAGUAACACGUAGGUAACCUGCCCAUGUGCCCGGGAUAACUUCUGGAAACGGAUGCUAAAACCGGAUAGGUAGCAGACAAGCAUUUGACUGCUAUUAAAGUGGCUUUGGCCAUGAACAUGGAUGGACCUGCGGUGCAUUAGCUGGUUGGUGAGGUAACGGCCCACCAAGGCGACGAUGCAUAGCCGGCCUGAGAGGGCGGACGGCCACAUUGGGACUGAGACACGGCCCAAACUCCUACGGGAGGCAGCAGUAGGGAAUUUUCGUCAAUGGGGGGAACCCUGAACGAGCAAUGCCGCGUGAGUGAGGAAGGUCUUCGGAUCGUAAAGCUCUGUUGUAAGAGAAAAACGGCACUCAUAGGGAAUGAUGAGUGAGUGAUGGUAUCUUACCAGAAAGUCACGGCUAACUACGUGCCAGCAGCCGCGGUAAUACGUAGGUGGCGAGCGUUAUCCGGAAUGAUUGGGCGUAAAGGGUGCGUAGGUGGCAGAUCAAGUCUGGAGUAAAAGGUAUGGGCUCAACCCGUACUGGCUCUGGAAACUGAUCAGCUAGAGAACAGAAGAGGACGGCGGAACUCCAUGUGUAGCGGUAAAAUGCGUAGAUAUAUGGAAGAACACCGGUGGCGAAGGCGGCCGUCUGGUCUGGAUUCUGACACUGAAGCACGAAAGCGUGGGGAGCAAAUAGGAUUAGAUACCCUAGUAGUCCACGCCGUAAACGAUGAGAACUAGGUGUUGGGGGAAUAACUCAGUGCCGCAGUUUAACGCAGUAAAGUUCUCCGCCUGGGGAGUAUGCACGCAAGUGUGAAACUCAAAGG